This 512-nucleotide ribosomal RNA is filed under the name uncultured bacterium. Its description in RNAcentral is "bacterial SSU rRNA". It matches the Rfam family "Bacterial small subunit ribosomal RNA", at positions 359 to 895 of the family's 1533-position model. The record is from RNAcentral.
GGGGUAUAUGGGGCGCAGCCUGAUCCGCAUGGCGCGUGUGUGAAGAAGGUCUUCGGAUUGUAAAGCACUUUCGGCGGGGACGAUGAUGACGGUACCCGCAGAAGAAGCCCCGGCUAACUUCGUGCCAGCAGCCGCGGUAAUACGAAGGGGGCUAGCGUUGCUCGGAAUGACUGGGCGUAAAGGGCGCGUAGGCGGAUUACAUAGUCGGGCGUGAAAUUCCUGGGCUCAACCUGGGGACUGCGUUCGAGACGUGUUGUCUUGAGUUCGGAAGAGGGUCGUGGAAUUCCCAGUGUAGAGGUGAAAUUCGUAGAUAUUGGGAAGAACACCGGUGGCGAAGGCGGCGACCUGGUCCGAUACUGACGCUGAGGCGCGAAAGCGGGGGGAGCAAACAGGAUUAGAUACCCUGGUAGCCCACGCUGUAAACGAUGUGCGCUGGAUGUUGGGUGACCUAGUCACUCAGUGUCGUAGCUAACGCGAUAAGCGAACCGCCUGGGGAGUACGGCCGCAAGGUU